This 570-nucleotide long non-coding RNA is filed under the name Brassica napus (rape). RNAcentral's name for it is "long non-coding RNA (BNAP_LNC011724)". The record is from RNAcentral. Lineage: Eukaryota; Viridiplantae; Streptophyta; Magnoliopsida; Brassicales; Brassicaceae.
AAAACAUGGAAAUAGUAUAAUAUUUUGUUCCAUUCUCAUGAGGCACAUGGAAUAGAGAAAUUGUUGAACAAAAUAAAUAACAUAGUACAUAUUUGUGAAAUUAUUAAAUAUCUAUAAUUGCGUGAAAGAAGUUAUUGCUGACCUCAACCAUACUCCUUCACCUUCUAAAUACUAAACACUAAACUCUAAUCACAAAACCCUUACCCACAUAGAAACCCUAAACCCAAAUAUAACUCCAAAUAUAAGCACAAAAUCCAAAUAGAAUUGAGCACAAUAAAUAACAUAGUACAUAUUUGUGAAAUUAUAAAAUAUCUAUAAUUGCAUGGAAGGAGUUAUUGAUGACCUCAACCAUAUACCUUCACCUUUUAAAUACUAAACCCUAAACUCUAAUCACUAAACCCUUACCCAAAUAUAAACCAUAAACUCAAAUAGAAUGGAACAAGAUAAAUAACAUAAUACAUAUUGGUGAAAUUAUGAAAUGUCUAUGAUUGCAUGAAAGAAAUUAAUGAUAACCCUGACCAUACCCCUCACCUUCUAAAUACUAAACUCUUAUAAUUACUAAACCCAAAC